This 67-nucleotide transfer RNA is filed under the name Stenurella nigra. Its description in RNAcentral is "tRNA-Glu". Lineage: Eukaryota; Metazoa; Arthropoda; Insecta; Coleoptera; Cerambycidae. The record is from RNAcentral.
AUUUAUAUAGUUUAAUAAAACAUUACAUUUUCAUUGUAAAAUUAAAUUUUUUAUAAUUUUAUAAAUA